UGAGCGUCACCUCCAGGAAUUUGGCGUCCUCAUCCACCAGAUAGUACUCCUUCUCCAGGCUGAUCCAUGACCAGUUGAGCCGGAAUGGCUGCGGCUUCAGCUUGUUUCCACCUGGAAGACAAAACUUUGACAUCAGUUUUUACAGUGCCUGGCUAGGGUUUCUCACCUCCUCACCCACAUACAUGUGUCAGUUCCCUGGCUCCUUUGCCUGCCCCUGGCUAGAGUCUUACCUCCUUACCAGUCUCAGGGAAUGGGCCAAAACAGGACAGAGAGAGAGAGACCCGUUUUUAAAUGGAUCACUUGCUGACAGUGACUCAGAUAGCUACUCACCAGAGUCGAGGAUUUGGUAGGUCAAUGCGGAGAAAAGACCCUUUGGAUAUUAACCCCUACAUAACAGAACACUAAGGAAAGGAAGCAGAACCAAUCCUCUGAGGGGUGACAGAGAACCUGUGAGAGGAGGCUAACUAAAGAAAUAAACUCUCACUAGGCUUUAUGGAGGACAACAGCACGGAGCAUCUGGUUCAUUCAUACACUGAGCCUGCAUUGGGGUUGGUUUUGCCUGGCUGAGGGAGAAAGGAGCUGUGGGCGUGCUGCUAUGUGACUGGGGAGAAUGAAAACACUGGAGGGAGGAGAUGGGGCCACUUCCUCAAACCCACAUGUCAACAUGGCGCGCCGGGCCAGCACCAAGACACAACAGGGCCAGGGCCAGGAUCAAACCACACUCCGCCAAGCCUGGAUGUCAAUGACGGUGGAUUGAACUGAACUGAUACCAACUAGUGGAUUUUUGGGGGCAUUGGUUAAAUUGGAUCGUUUCACUAUGUUGUUUACUCUAAAACACACGCGCACACACACACACACACACACACACACACACACACACACACACACACACACACACACACACACACACACACACACACACACACACACACACACACACACACACACACACACACACACACACACACACACACACACACACACACACACACACACACACACACACAAACAAAAGCCAUCCCCCAAGCUACAGUAUAGUAGCCAUGGAGUCCCAGUUUGACAUAGGAGCCCCUAGCACCUAACGGUGGCUAUCCUUGACCAUGCUCAUGUUUCUGACAGCUCCGGCUAAAAAUACAGGAAGCAUUCAUCAAGUUUGUCUCUGCCUGCCCCAAAUUCCACCAAGCUUGAUGAGUGUGCAUGUGGCCAAUUGAUAGACAAGAUGAGCCAGCUAACUUCAAAAGAAGAUUUUGAGUGUUUGAUUAAGUGUAUUUCCAUGUAGCCUGAGUGGAAAUAUCAAACACCUCUUGAGCAUCUUUGAAAUGUAAAAUGGAAGUGCAGUGACUGUUGACUUUCGUCCGUCACUGUACUUAUAACGUACAGUGCACAUAAACUAAAUGCUACAGACACAUUAGUCACACCUCAGUCCAUCACAUUAAGUACAAUAUUCACUUAUCUAGGAAGAAACUUGAUUUAUAAAACCUGUAUACCUUUCUGCUCAUAUCUCCUCAAACCCACAGAAUCUGAAGGAGUGUUUCUGUUCAGAACAGCACGUGUUCCUAGGCAGGCUGCCCAGUUUACACAGAGCUGAUAUUGAGCUUAGUGAGCCUGUAUUGUGUGUCAGAUAGGAUUAUCGUAUGAACAUGGUCGAAGACAAAAAGACUCUUUCGUUCUGGCAUCCAGACUGGCAGUCUAUCUGACAGCUUCUGGUUUCAGCUCUGACACUGUUACCCUCAAGACAUGUCAUAAUCGGGUAAUAAUGCCAUUUUGUCUUGUGGAUUGCAUAGAAAUACCAAUUUCUAACAUGGUGUAGUUUGUCUGGUGAAAUACUGUAGAUGAUGAGACUAUGUAAGUAAAAUAAUAUUGAAAACAAAGGAGUCAAUUGACCCGUAAGAAUUAGAAACAGACUGUUCUGCACUGGGGAAAUGAAUUAAUAUAAGUGCUAAUGACAAUAUUUAAUUUAAUUGAUCAGCUGCUGUUAUUUCUCAAUUGUCACUCAAUUAUCAGGGUGAAACAAGGUCUUGGAGUUCAUUUGAGUUUAAAUCCUCAGAAUAACCUAAAUCAACAUGUCGAUAAAAUAGGACAGGUGAGAUUUAAGGACAUCUAGCAUUUCCCACCUGACCUGAAGCCUGUUUAAAAACAGAGUUGGAUUUCCGACCGGGGGGCGGAUGGGAGUCAAUUGAAAAAAGAGCUGAGGAAAAGUCUUCCCUAACCAUGUCUCCAAUUUCCCAGACCUGAUAGAGACACUGUAUGUUGUGACACCAUGACAUCGCUGUGACGUUAUACAUACAUCAUGUUAUACAUAGAUGCACAGCCAGUGGAGGGGACCUCGAAGCCCUGGCUGUGUGAUAUCUGAGCCUUUGAAAACUCUAUGACAACUAUGACAAAGGCAAUGUCAUCAUCAUCCAUAUAUUUUGUGUGUCGUCCAAGAGAGUUGGUUGGCAGGCAGGCCUCAAAAACAAAUCAGCACCUGCUACAAUGACACAAGCACACAAACAUACCCUUUAAAAAAAUGACAAGGUGAUAUCACUACAAUCUGAGCUGUCUGUGUAUAAUGAAUUACACUAAUAUCACAUUCCAUCCCCCAGGUGGACAUGGUCAGAGCCAUAGACGUGACCGUAAGAUAGGGGGCUUCAGAUCUGGCUGGUGUGACACUCCAGUCAGCCAUUGUCAUGAAAAUGUGUCCACUCUGCCCACAGUGAACCUAAAGCUCUGCACCUUCAGUGGGGUCAAUAGAACCGGAAACAUCUGUUUUUCAAGUAAAAAGACAAAGGAGGAAGAAAAACCCUUCAGAAGUCUGGACGAGUCUGGACGAGUUUAAGGGGUUACUACUAGCCUCUGGCAGGGUAGCCCUGGCCUGAUGGACCACUCGUCUGUAGACAGUCCUGGAUGACAGAAGAGGAGUAACCCCAACUGACAGACUGAACUUCAUUAUUGGGAUAGAGCUCAGAGGCUAGUAAUAGUUGUGCCAUUAGACUAGUUUAUUUUGAAGAAGAUCUAUGGAAAUGGAAAAAUACAUCUAGCCUUUUAUGAUAGAAUGACACUGCCUUUCAUCCAAGCACCUUGUCAUAAACCUAUUAUCACACAGGGAUAGUCAACAACAACAAAAACUGUGUUGAGGAAACAUUCAAAGGUGGCCAUUUUGAGCGAGGCAGAAUUCCCUCCCUUCCAGGUCAGGGCUUUGCUGUGUCUUUCAGCAGGAUUAGGUGAAGGGACGGAGGGCUGAUCAAUAAUCAGUUAUCGGUGUAGUGAAUGUAAUAAUACCGCGUCCUCCUAACCCUAACCGUUCUCACCUGUUCUAACAACUCCUCCUUGAGUCCAUCACUCAACGAAGAGGAAAUCUCUACACAGCCAUAUGCCUGGAGAUGAGGGAGUAGGUCUAUACCUCAGCUCACCUUCUCCAUCAGAGUCCCUCAUAAUCUCCACUCAGAACAGAACCAGUGGGCUGGUUGGGUCCUUAUGGGCCUCAAGGGGGCUGACUGAUGAUUUACGCUUUCCUCCGUCCAUCGGAUCUCCCCGAAGGGUGAAAAGUUAAACAGGCACUCCGCAGGGCCUCCCUCUGGGGUCCUGACAGAAAAAGGACAGCAUAUGCUACCAGGACUUGGAAUGUGGCCACUGUCCAUUUCAAGAGACAAGACUUCCCGCAGUGUGGCAACUGCUGACCCCUUUCUUGAACAAUGCAGAGACACUGGGAAGUCAUCACUAAACCCCCACACACACACACAGCCAUGCUAUGGGUAGAGCCGCCGCUGCCUCUGUGUCUCUCGACACCUGCUGGGACUUGGGAAUACUUCCUCCCCUCUUCCUCCCCCUUCCUCCCUCUUUCAUCCCCCUUUCCUCACCCCAUCACCACCCUCUCCACCAUGGAGACUGUAAGUCUCUAAAGGUAAGGAGAUUGAGUGUGUACCCAUCCAUCGCAUGCAAGACUGUGUAACUUGCAAGUGUGUGUAGCUUCCCACUUUUUGGAAGCCAACCACUCGAUUUCAUCUCUACGUUAGAUCGGCAUCGAACAUGUCACCCUCCCUUGGAGAGGGUGUGACCUCGACAAUUUAUUGUUAAAAUGAGAGGCUGCUUGGAUCUUUAAUUUAAAGUCUCAAUGUAGACUUUUAUCUUAAGCCAUUCCUGUGAUUAAUGUGAUUUUGCUAUUCAUUGUAAAUGUUUUGUAGACCUAUGUAGCCAAAUUGUAUCAAUGAUCGUAUGCUAUACAUUCAUGUUUUUUACAUGUUAUUGUUAUAUAUGAUAAUUAACUAAUGAUAUCAGGCCAAACCCGGCCAUGAUUACAGACACCUGUGUGUGUCCUUUGACACUAUAUAAACUAGUGGCCCGCAGUGUUUGUCAUUAUACCCUGAUGAAGACAGCUUGUCUGUCUAAACGUUGGAUAUUAGGUUAUUAAAUUAUUGCAUCUGAGCUCCUAGAGUUUGCGGCUCUUCUUUUUUAUGUGUAGCUUGACAAGACUUCUAAUCUUUGACACAUAUACUGGUACAGAAAAUGUAGGUACAGUAUGUAUUGAAAAGGGAGGAUGCAUACCAGACCGCUACACAUUGGUAUUGGCUGACUGUCUGGGGAGGCUGAGGUCCUGUGUUGCUAGGCAGGUUUGUGAUGAUGUGUGUUUAACAAGCCUGUCCCUUAGAAAGCUAUGGGAUAAGCUAUGGGAUGCCUCCAAAAUGGCACCCAAUUCUCUAUAUAGGGCACUACUUUUCAAAAGUGCUGUAAUACGAAGGGAAUAGGGUGCCAUUUGGGAUGCAGCCAGGGAGUCUGGUGCACUACAUGCAUCCGCCUGGCAGGUAUUCUAAUCCAUUUAAAGGGUGCUAAUCACUGCUAGCCCUUUCCUACAGUCAAAUGACCUUGUGGCCUCAUGGGUGGAAUGUUAUUCAUAUUUUUCAUAAUUUCAUAAUGAAUAAACAUGAUAAAAAAUACAAAUAAACUGAAAUGACAUUUUUUCUAUGUCAAAUAGUUUUGUUAUUGUGACGGAACAAAGGGCUGACACUAGAUCAAUAGUCAGAUGCAAACU
Long non-coding RNA from Salmo salar (Atlantic salmon), 5008 nucleotides. RefSeq lists it as uncharacterized. Lineage: Eukaryota; Metazoa; Chordata; Actinopteri; Salmoniformes; Salmonidae. The record is from RefSeq and is a predicted model, not a curated record.